GAUUAAAUAAAAGUGAUAGCAUGACGUUAGUUUUUCCGCAUCCACUUGGACCACAAAUAAUGGUCGCGUUCACCAGAAUAAUCCGAGUGCAAUCCGAUUAAUUUGCGCUGAAACGCUGACAGUUUUUUUACUAGUGAACGACUGACGUUUGACAUUCGAUUGAGAGUGUUCUGUGUUCCAUUUGUUUAUGUUUUUAUUCUUUGUUUAUAUAAUUUAUAACCUAAACCUAGACAGUUUUGUUUUUAUUUUAAAUAAAACUGAAACUGUUUAAACUAAAAUGGAUAAUAUUCUUGAAGAACUUUUGUUUGGGGACGAAAUUAGCAAAUGCCGUUAUACAUUUAGCAGAUGUACCUACCUCAAAUUAUUCCAGAAGGAUGAGAUGAAAUUAAAUAUAUAUAAACCAUAAUUCAAUAUCCAAUUUAGAGAACAUUUUCGUAUGUCCAGAACUACUUUCCAGGAACUAUUUAAUUGUAUUGGUCAUAUCCACCAAUUUGAAAACAGAAUAAUUCUAUUGGAAAAAAUUAAUGUUUAUGAUGUGGAUGCUAAGUAAACCAGAUAAUUUGUUGCUGGGGAUACGUUUGGUUUGCCAAAGAGCUCUGGACAUAAGAUUUUCACCCAAAUAAUAUAGAAUUACAAAAAAUUGGAAAUAACUAAUCUUGAAUAUCAAUGUGUAUAUUGAGUUUAAUUUUAUUGUAAAUAUUCUAUAAUAUAAUUUUAUUGUAAAUAUUAUAUUAACACAUUUGUGGACACAUUUUCAUAUGCAGACAGUAAUUUCCCUUUGUAAGUACAUGCAUAUAUAGUCGUAUCUGCGAAUGGGUUAAUUGUAAAUCGUAAUCAAUAAAAAUUUUUUGUGAAUCAAUAAAAAACUGGUUUGUUUGAAAAUAAAUGUAGUACAAAUGUG
This 901-nucleotide long non-coding RNA is filed under the name Diabrotica virgifera virgifera (western corn rootworm). RNAcentral describes it as "uncharacterized LOC126880273". Lineage: Eukaryota; Metazoa; Arthropoda; Insecta; Coleoptera; Chrysomelidae. The record is from RNAcentral.